Molecule: long non-coding RNA, 1688 nt
Filed under: Macaca fascicularis (crab-eating macaque)
Lineage: Eukaryota; Metazoa; Chordata; Mammalia; Primates; Cercopithecidae
Description: lncRNA (ENSMFAG00000062944.1)
Source: RNAcentral
GCAGAGGUUGUGGUGAGCCGAUAUCAUGCUGUUGCACUCCAGCCUGGGCAACAAGAGCCAAACUCUGUCUCAAAAAAAAAAAAAAAAAAAAAAAAAAAAAAAAGACUUUUAACAUAUGGGUAUAUUUUGAAAUGUUUUCUAUUUAGUUUUAGGAAUUAAGGGAAUUAAGACAAAUAUAGAUUCUUCUCAAAAUCUAACGUAGAAAAUAUCACAAGUAGUUUUGGAAACUAUUUUCACCUGAAACAAUAUUUUAAUCUUGGUUCAUGGAUUGUUAUGCCUCUUGUAAAUAAAACUACAAUAGCCUGGUACGUGGUUUAUGCCUGUAAUCCCAGCAGGUCAGAUGGAUCAUCUGAGGUCAGGAGUUUGAGACGAGCCUCGCCAACACGAUGAAACCCCGUCUCUACAAAUAAUUAAAAAAAAAAAAUUAGCUGGGUGUGGUGGCACGUACCUGUAAUCCCAGCUACUUGGGAGGCUGAGGCAGGAGAAUCACUUGAACCCAGGAGGUCAAGGCUGCAGUGAGCCGAGAUCGUGCCACUCUACUCCAGCCUAGGUGACAGAGGAAGACUGUCUCAAAAAAACAAAAAAAAAAACAAAACAACAACAAAAACCUACAGUAAUAUUGAAAUAGAAGGAGGUUUGCAAUCAAAAUGACUGACUAGGAAUGAGAUAUGAAACCUAUAUUUUGCAUCUGCAUAGGGAAGUCUGAGACUGAUAGAUCUUGUUCUCUUCUGUAGGGGAAAUACUAGUCCAGAACUUGGGGUGCCUGCCAAGAUGGGAGUAGCCACAGUAAGGAGGGGGGGACUCUGGAAUGCUAGGGUUCUGGAGCCUGUGGACACAGGAGGCAGAGGACAUGUGUUAAGAUGUUUUAAGAAAUGAAUGUUGAUCUGGAUAUGAAAAUAUUUUUCAGCCGGGUGCAGUGGCUCACGUCUGUAAUCCCAGCAUUUUGGGAGGCUGAGGUGGGCGGAUCACGAGGUUAGGAGAUCGAGAACACGGUGAAACCCUGUCUCUACUAAAAAUACAAAACGUUAGCCGGGCAUGGUGGUGGAGGCCUGUAAUCCCAGUUACUCGGGAAGCUGAGGCAGGAGAAUGACGUGAACCCAGGAGACGGAGCUUGCAGUGAGCCGAGAUCGCCCCACUGCACUCCAGCCUGGGUGACAGAGGGAGACUCCGUCUCGAAAAAAAAAGAAAGAAAAUAUUUGUCACGAUAGAGAGGCAUAUGUCCCCUGAACUUGCCAGGAUCCACCUUUCCUUGCUGAUGCAUUCUGUGAGUUAGAAGAAAACUUCCGAAGAUCCGUUUUUUCCACCCUGUCUACUGUAUGAAAUUGCUUCUCAAGCAUGUGCUGCAUUGCAAAAGCUUACCAUUGUUUCACUAACCAGCGUCUGGUCUCUCUUAUGUGGCGCUAGUUGGUAUCACCUGUUGGUGAUACCCAGAGGACAGUGUCUGAAGUCCUUAUUCAAUAUUCACAUUUGGUCAGGUGAUCCACCUGCCUCGGCCUCCCAAAGUGCUGGGAUUGCCGGGCGCGGUGGCUCAAGCCUGUAAUCCCAGCCACUUGGGAGGCUGAGGCAGGAGCAUUGCUUGAACCCAGGAGGCGGGAGGUUGCAGUGAGCUGAGAUCAUGCCACUGCACUCCAGCCCGGGCAAGAGAGCGAGACUCCGUCUCAAAAAAAAAAACAAAAAACAAAAAAAAA